This is a non-coding RNA of Hydra vulgaris (swiftwater hydra), 276 nucleotides long. NCBI's taxonomy places the organism in Eukaryota, Metazoa, Cnidaria, Hydrozoa, Anthoathecata, Hydridae. The record is from RefSeq and is a predicted model, not a curated record.
CAAAUUUACGAUAGAGAUCAAGUAGCGUUAACAGAGGUAUCUAAUUUAAUCUUUUGAAUCGUUUGCAUACUGUUUGUUUUAGUUUUGCUUUUAGAAAAGGUUUAGCUGUUUUUAGGCGUAUUUUGUCAUGGUGUCUGCUGCUAUAAUUUUUUUUUAAUGAGUUAUAACAUAUUCUAACGUUAUUACCUACAUAUAAAAGCACAAAUAAAAUUACAUUAGCUUCUUUUGUAUUAUGUAUUUCACACUUUAUUUGUUAUUAAUAAAUUAUUAUUUGAA